CCUACGGGAGGCAGCAGUGAGGAAUAUUGGUCAAUGGGCGAGAGCCUGAACCAGCCAAGUCGCGUGAGGGAAGACGGUCCUAUGGAUUGUAAACCUCUUUUGCCGGGGAGCAAAAAGCGGUACGCGUACCGCAUCGAGAGUACCCGGAGAAAAAGCAUCGGCUAACUCCGUGCCAGCAGCCGCGGUACUACGGGGGAUACGAGCGUUAUCCGGAGUUAUUGGGUUUAAAGGGUGCGCAGGCGGCGAGUUAAGUCAGCGGUAAAAUUUCGGGGCUCAACCCCGACAAGCCGUUGAAACUGGCGUGCUAGAGUGGGCGAGAAGUAUGCGGAAUGCGUGGUGUAGCGGUGAAAUGCAUAGAUAUCACGAAGAACUCCGAUUGCGAAGGCAGCAUACCGGCGCCCAACUGACGCUGAGGCACGAAAGCGUGGGUAUCGAACAGGAUUAGAUACCCGGGCAGUC
RNAcentral lists this ribosomal RNA (459 nucleotides) under uncultured bacterium. Its description in RNAcentral is "partial 16S ribosomal RNA". It matches the Rfam family "Bacterial small subunit ribosomal RNA", at positions 338 to 795 of the family's 1533-position model. The record is from RNAcentral.